Molecule: non-coding RNA, 58 nt
Organism: Salmo salar (Atlantic salmon)
Lineage: Eukaryota; Metazoa; Chordata; Actinopteri; Salmoniformes; Salmonidae
Source: Rfam
UGGCUCAGUUGGUAGAGCAUGGUGUUUGCAAAGCCAAGGUUGUGGGUUCGAUUCCCAC